UGUAUUCACUACUGUAAGUCACUCUGGAUAAGAGCGUCUGCUAAAUGACUAAAG
This is a non-coding RNA of Salmo salar (Atlantic salmon), 54 nucleotides long. Lineage: Eukaryota; Metazoa; Chordata; Actinopteri; Salmoniformes; Salmonidae. The record is from Rfam.